CUUCGUCCCUGGAUGUAUUCUGUUCGGUGCGGAGUGACACAGUGCAUGUGGGAGUCUUCAAACAGCAUGAGUCUGGCGGUUGUCUGCGGGAGGGGAGUUAGAUUUGAAACUCUGUUGAGAAAACAGGGUUGGGGGAAGAGCUGCUCACGAAACAGCGGUUUCCGUGCAGGUCUUGGCAUCUACAGAGCCCGACCCUCUCCUUCAGCCAGUAUUUGCUUGUAAGGAAUUAUUGAGAUGUGAGGAAUUUCCACAGACCCGAACAGCCAGUGCACAGGAGCCUCGGUCAGGGAUCAAGACCUGUAUGUCCUAGAUGUUGGACAAAUAAAUGGACUUAAGCGCAUACUCAGUGUCUUUGAUCAGCUGGGCGUAAGGAGCAUGGCAGUGAUUAUGCGUCUGCUGGCAUCCAACAGGACUGGAAGGUGGAAUGGGAUUAAUCAUCUAGAUUUAUUAUGAAAGGAAUGGGAAGGUGUCGCCAUUGAGAACAAAAUCCUUUUCCAGAUGAGGAAUUACUUUCCCCUUUCUCCACUGCUGACAUCCUAUCAAAUUUGCUAGCAUUCUCUACAGUUGGCAGGACACUCUUCUAGCUGAAAUUAGAAGCUGACAAGGCUGAUGACUCACUUCCUCCACUGCCUAAGCCACACUUCAGUCUGCCUUCAAUAUAGCACCCGGCUAAGCAUUCUUUCAAUUCUAUUGUGCAUGACCUGUCUAGAGAACCCUACAGGAGAAUUUCCAGCAAAAGUCAGCAUGGGAGGGUCAAUCCCUUGAAAUUGCACCUUCCAACCUCAUUCGUGGCCAGUCUUCUGAACGACUUCCUUCAAGAUCAGCUGUAGGAACCUUCUGUAGAAGCAUACUUUCUUCUGCAAAUUGGACGUGUCCUCACCUUUGAAGACUUCUGUUCUCAACUGGUAUAAGAUGACCACUUUCCAGGACCAUCUAAAUAUCUCCUUGUUUGUGAAAAAGUUAAAGCAAUGGAUGGUAAGAAUACACUGUAACUUUUGCCAUUUGGUGAAAGAAAACCCCUUUCUUUUCCUGUCCUCCGCGAAUGGUUCUGCGCCAUAUGACAGAAUUGUUGUCAUGACUGCAUUGAACACGGGUAGCCUCGUUGUCACACAGACAUUCCACCUCCCACGCA
This is a non-coding RNA of Pelodiscus sinensis (Chinese soft-shelled turtle), 1132 nucleotides long. The record is from RefSeq and is a predicted model, not a curated record. NCBI's taxonomy places the organism in Eukaryota, Metazoa, Chordata, Testudines, Trionychidae.